GUGCAGUCAUCACCCACUUUU
Caenorhabditis elegans is the source of this 21-nucleotide non-coding RNA. NCBI's taxonomy places the organism in Eukaryota, Metazoa, Nematoda, Chromadorea, Rhabditida, Rhabditidae. The record is from Ensembl.